GAUGGGGGAGGGAAGGGGGUGAUAAGGAGGGAGGGGGGAGGAUGAGGAGGGGGCCGCUGUGGGAGGGGGCGGGAGGGGAGGUGGGGGGGAGAAGAGGAAGAAAAAGAAGAGGGGAGGCCGCGGCUCUUUGUCUGCCCCGGCGCAAAAUGGCUGCGGCUCCCCCCGCCGCUCCCGGCUCCGAAGGGCGCCCCGCACCUGUGCUGGAGGCGUGUGACGGGAGGGGGGGGGGGGAGAAGGGAUGGACAGACGGGCGGAUGGACAGGCAGACAGACGGCUCCGGGUUGGGGGGCAGCACGCUGAGGUGUGUGUGUGUGGGGGGGUGAUGGGCCCGGCUCCCCCCCCCCGGGUUUUCCCUUCUGGGGCCUUGCUGCGGGGACAGCUCCGCGCCCAUGGGAUGUGGGGGGGUGAGGGGGGGGCCGCACUUUGACCCCGUUGUGCAAGCGCCAUCAAGGAAGUCAAUAAAUAGGGUCGGGGUGGAAAAAAAUAGGACCUGGCUUCUCGCUAACGCUCUCUCCAGCCAGGUGCUGCUUUCCAAAGGCGGCUGAGGCGUUGGAGCGAAAUGAGCGGGAAGAGAGAGCACGGGGAUCGACUCAGCACCUGCUAAUGCCCUGCCCAGACUUCACCGGCCUGCUGGCUGUGACAGCAGGGCUGCAGCGGUGGAGACUGGUAAGAGUAAGUGCUCUGAGCUCCCUGAGACUGGAUUGCUGUAAAUAGGUCAGGGAUGAGAGGAUUCUCUGCUUAGGGUGGCCCAAAGAUGGGUGCCAGUGCUUUCUGAAUGACAGUUUGUGGUGAUCACUUAACUCCUAGUGCUGUGACAUGGAACAAAUUGCCCUGCUCACCAGUUGGCCCAGUAAGCGAUGGGAACAGUCCUGAAGUAGUUCCAUAUCCUACCCUGCUCCCAAACACAUAAAUAUGUCUACAGGAGAUGUUUGCUAAAAGGUCACUCAAGAAACAGUAAAAACUGAUAGCUAUUCCUUAAUAAGGUGAGUAAGUAUCUUUAAAUCAAGUUUUAGCCCUUACCAUAAACUAUUUCAAUAACUGUUGUGGUUUCUCACAUCUCCCUCUCACCUGCACAAAGCGGCUGCUGAAUUAAAAUUACGAUGCUGAGCAUUUCCUACAGCUCUGAGCCCUUUACAAGAUGUCACUAGAAGGGACUGCAUAGCUCCUCUGAGAAGCUUUAAAUUAGGGUUUUAUAAUCCUUUAUCCUUGUUCUCACAUAUUUUAUACUUAGUAGUUUUUUUUUUGUCUUCAUACUUUUUCUCAAUCAUCACUCAAAACUCAGGGAGAAAAAGAAGAUACCCCUUCCCUCUCCACAGCUUUUACCUUCAAUUUUAUCUGUUUUUUUUGCCAAAUUGUAAUGCUGCUAAGUAGUUGCCCACUUCUUGCAAGGCAGGAAUGCUACUUCAGGCAGAGUCACGUCUACCAGUUUGUUGCUGCCACAGUCAAGCACACUGCCAGUUUUAGCUGUGAUGAAAUUCUAUAAGCAACAUACCAAAGAACUAUCUAGAAUAGAAGUCUCUUUGCAUUCCCCAAACAGUGGAAGAAUUAAUCUACAUCAGCUGCUCAAAUGAUUUAUGGGGGAGAGCUAGGCUUAAGCUGAAGCAGCCUGAAGGUGCAGAGUAGCUGCACAUCCUUCUUUUGCAGCACCUAAAUGGGUGUAUAGCCCAAAGCUGGGCUGGUACGAGUGAUGGAGGAACAGAGUGAGCGACAUGAGAGAUGGAUUAAAUUAUCCCAUGGCAGCAGUAGUCAACACGAAGGGUUAGAGCAGCCUAUGUUCUUCUACUGCUCGUAUUUUAGGGCAGCUGGAAUGCAGCUUACAGUUGUAUUACAGAACUAGAAAUAAAAACCUAGAAAUCAUCAGUCUUUGUUCUAGCACUCUCGUUAGUAGACCAUAUGGCACAUUUACCAUAUUAGGUAAACAACUUUACCAAAUUACAAGAGCAACUGAAAUGCAUUAUGACUUGUGUGUUGUAAGUGUGUAAGAUUUAUUACUGGAUAAUUUAUCUUCUUGCACUCUGCCUUUCAUUUGCUAUUGGAAGUAACUUUUUAGAUGGGAUUCUUCAGGCCCAGGAUUCCAGCUCCUCUGUAUUGUACUGCCCCCUUCUUACUCUAAAAGUUUCUCUAAUGUUCCUCAAAUCUGAUUUCUGUAAUUACCUCAAACCUGAAUCAGAACAUUUCAAGAAGUGGUUGGAGCCAAUGGAGAAUAAUUUGUUGGUAGCAGGUAACACAGAGGGACACUUAAUGUUCAUCAUUCUGACAUUUUUGUACAGUUUUCAUGGAAUUAAGACCUAAUUUCAAAAUAAAUGGUUGCUUUACUUCAGAGUGUUUGUUUUAUGAAAGCAACUGUGUUUCACCUAGCGUGUCUGGAGGAGAAUACUUUGUCCCAUUGAUGUCCACACCCUGGUUUCAUGGUGCUCUGGGCUUGUUACAAAACUGAAGUUCUACUGCAGAAACACUUUCUUUCCGUGCUUGCAUCUGCGUGUGCAUUUCCAAAUUGGAGGAGCACAGGAGGCUAAUGGACAAUUGCAGAAGUACACAGUGUCAAGAGAAAGAGACAAAAUAAGGGAGCUCUGGCUGAGGAUGAUGCAGACCUAUGCAGAAACAGUUUGUCAACUUGAGAGUCUGCAUGCUGAUCCUUCUGCAAAGGAGCGUCAGUCUGCACCUACAAGCGUUCAGCUAAAGCAGCAAGGCUUCAUGUGCAUCUGGAAUAGAAAAGUUUGACAGUAACCGGUACAAAAAGUAGUCCCCUUUUGAACGUUUUACUUUGAAUUGAGGGGCAAGUGCAGUCUUACUACACCCAAGCACAUGCAGAUAAAUAAAAUAACUUUAGUGCCUCCUUGUAGUUUGUACUUUGCUGUCUCCUUCUUGGAAACUCAAGGUACUGUUGAAGUCUUGGUAGUCUUAAAAUCACAGCAUAUAUUUCAGCUGUCACUUGGUGGAUCUCUAAGUCUAAUGUUCCUAAUAGUCAGGGAUUGGAAAAGGUAUACCAAAAUCAUCUAUUUGUUUGGGUUUCCAUCUACUAUUAUGUAGAUGUAACUUCAGAAGUGGUGAAGAAAAACUUUUUUCCUUAGAAGAUGCUAGUAAGAUCUAUAGUGACAUAUGCUUGAAUAAAAAUGUGACAACUUCAUGGAUUUCCUCCUUUAAAAAAAAAAUAUUUAACUGUACCUGGUUAUUGGGAAAUACAUAAAAACAAUAUCUUAGAGAAAUACUAAUGAACUAGAUUAAAAAAAAAAUAUAUAUAAGCCGAGCAUGCAACUGCCUUGUGAAUCUUUUCUAGUUUUUAAAGGACAGUUUGUGGAGUGUGUCCCUGCACAUGCAAUUCAUGUGGGAGUUACUUAAGUAUGGCUAUACCAAAGUCCAUGCAGCCCAACAUCCUGUGCCCAAAAGAGGAUGCCCAGAGAAUAUACUGUGGGAUAAAGGAUCAUUGUUUAAAGGCCUUCAAGGCUUUCUAGUAUAAAAGAGUUGUGGAAUACUGGUUUUCCUUCCCAACUGCUAUUAAUCUAACUUGUCAUGCUCGCUACUGCGUGCCAAGAUAGGAAGCAUCAAAAUCCAGACUCAUCUACAAGGGGAGAAUUAGGAAAUUUACUAAGAAAAAGGAGCACUUGUACAAGAUGUAAGUUUCCAACUAUGCACUCAGCAGCAAGCAGAUUCUUUUAAAGCAAAUCUGAAUGGAGACUACUAGCAAAUGUCCAGAAUAAUGUUUAUAGAAGAGACAAGAAGCAGCCACGUCAAUAAAGAUUUAUGUUUUAUCUGUUAUAUAUAUAAAAAAAAAAAAAAAAAAAAAAAAAAAAACUUGUGCAAAUCGACAUGAUUCAGGGAAGAAAAACUAUUGUUAAAGGAUGAAUGGUCCUUCUUGGUCAUGACAGCUAGUUUCAAUAAUUUUCUAUUUUGAAUUUAGCAAAUGAUUAGAACUGACUGGGCAAAAUGAAAAUGCUUUCCUCUCUAAGUAAAUUAAAGUAAGUUUUGGAAACUUCAA
This is a long non-coding RNA of Anas platyrhynchos (mallard), 3976 nucleotides long. RefSeq lists it as uncharacterized. The record is from RefSeq and is a predicted model, not a curated record. NCBI's taxonomy places the organism in Eukaryota, Metazoa, Chordata, Aves, Anseriformes, Anatidae.